AGCGCGCGGGCGUGAGGGGCGGGGCCAUAAAGCUGGCGUUGUAUGGGGCUGGCCCGAGCCCUUCAGCGUGUUCCUGCGCAGCCGCCUCCCGCCCUCUCGAGAGGCAAUUGUGCCAGUCAUUGGUCUGCAUUACUUCAUCACAGUGACCCCAUGAGAUGGUACUGUCCUUCCUAUUUUACAAGAAACAGCAAGAUGAAGUCACCCAAGGUCACCCAACUAGACAGAGAACUCAAAGUCAGUUGCCUAACUCCAGAAGUCAUACUAUCAUCCCCCACCACACUGACACAAGAAGAAAAUGAAUAACACCAUUUACUGGGCUAGACUACUGUGCUUAAUGCUUUACCUGCACUACCCCUUUCAUCCUCAACCUGUGAGGCUGGAAUCAUUACCUCCAUUUUAUAUAUUGUAACCUAAGACCCAAACAGGUCUUGUCUCAAGGCCAGUGUCCUGGAAUAUCUUGGAAACUCAGACUCUGGAGCCCUGAUUCCUGGUUGGAGUUGUGCUUCUCCUAAUGAGAUCUCUGGCAAGGAGGUGAUUAAUAAAGGCUUUCCUGUAGACCUAACAGUCCCACCCCAAGAGGAAAAGAUAAAGGCUGCAGCUUCUGUCCUACAUGUUGGCUGAGGUGCUAAGAAACAUACUGAGUCACCUAAUAGCAAGCCAAGCCCUUCGGAAAAUAAUGACAUCAUCUCCCAGGCUGUUGACCCUCCCAUAUGGUCUGACCCUAGGACUGGUGUUUUUCAGUAUUGGUGUCUGUCGUCCCCAUCUUAAUGAAUAGGCAUUGCUUGGCAGAGCCCCCAGAGAUCUCAAAGACCUUGCUCUGAUCUUC
Nannospalax galili (Upper Galilee mountains blind mole rat) is the source of this 826-nucleotide long non-coding RNA. RefSeq lists it as uncharacterized. The transcript is spliced from 2 exons. The record is from RefSeq and is a predicted model, not a curated record. Lineage: Eukaryota; Metazoa; Chordata; Mammalia; Rodentia; Spalacidae.